UACGUAGGGGGCAAGCGUUGUCCGGAAUUAUUGGGCGUAAAGCGCGUGUAGGCGGCCAGAUAGGUCUGCUGUGAAAACUCGAGGCUCAACUUCGAGAUGUCGGCGGAAACCAUCUGGCUAGAGUCCGGAAGAGGAGAGUGGAAUUCCUGGUGUAGCGGUGAAAUGCGCAGAUAUCAGGAAGAACACCCGUGGCUAAGGCGGCUCUCUAGUACGGUACUGACGCUGAGACGCGAAAGCGUGGGGAGCGAACAGG
Molecule: ribosomal RNA, 253 nt
Filed under: uncultured bacterium
Lineage: Bacteria
Description: partial 16S ribosomal RNA
Rfam family: Bacterial small subunit ribosomal RNA
Source: RNAcentral